RNAcentral lists this ribosomal RNA (710 nucleotides) under uncultured cyanobacterium. RNAcentral's name for it is "bacterial SSU rRNA". It matches the Rfam family "Bacterial small subunit ribosomal RNA", at positions 45 to 795 of the family's 1533-position model. Lineage: Bacteria; Bacillati; Cyanobacteriota. The record is from RNAcentral.
UGCCUAACACAUGCAAGUCGAACGGAAACCUUUCGAGGUUUUAGUGGCGGACGGGUGAGUAACGCGUGAGAAUCUGCCUUCAGGAUGGGGACAACAAUUGGAAACGAUUGCUAAUACCCGAUAUGACGAAAGUUGAAAGAUUUAUCGCCUGGAGAUGAGCUCGCGUCAGAUUAGCUAGAUGGUGUGGUAACGGCGCACCAUGGCGACGAUCUGUAGCUGGUCUGAGAGGAUGAGCAGCCACACUGGGACUGAGACACGGCCCAGACUCCUACGGGAGGCAGCAGUGGGGAAUUUUCCGCAAUGGGCGCAAGCCUGACGGAGCAAUACCGCGUGAGGGAGGAAGGCUCUUGGGUCGUAAACCUCUUUUCUCAGGGAAGAACAAAAUGACGGUACCUGAGGAAUCAGCAUCGGCUAACUCCGUGCCGGCAGCCGCGGUAAUACGGAGGAUGCAAGCGUUAUCCGGAAUGAUUGGGCGUAAAGCGUCCGUAGGUGGUUAUGUAAGUCCGUGGUUAAAGCGUGGGGCUCAACCCCAUAAGGGCCAUGGAAACUACAAGACUUGAGUGAACUAGGGGUAGAGGGAAUUCCCAGUGUAGCGGUGAAAUGCGUAAAGAUUGGGAAGAACACCGAUGGCGAAAGCGCUCUACUGGACUUAAACUGACACUGACGGACGAAAGCUAUGGGAGCGAAAGGGAUUAGAUACACCUGUGGUC